RNAcentral lists this ribosomal RNA (434 nucleotides) under uncultured Acetanaerobacterium sp. RNAcentral's name for it is "partial 16S ribosomal RNA". It matches the Rfam family "Bacterial small subunit ribosomal RNA", at positions 341 to 792 of the family's 1533-position model. The record is from RNAcentral. Lineage: Bacteria; Bacillati; Bacillota; Clostridia; Eubacteriales; Oscillospiraceae.
ACGGGAGGCAGCAGUGGGGGAUAUUGCACAAUGGAGGAAACUCUGAUGCAGCGACGCCGCGUGUAGGAAGACGGUCUUCGGAUUGUAAACUACUGUCUUCGGGGACGAAAAAUGACGGUACCCGAGGAGGAAGCCACGGCUAACUACGUGCCAGCAGCCGCGGUAAUACGUAGGUGGCGAGCGUUGUCCGGAAUUACUGGGUGUAAAGGGAGCGUAGGUGGGGAUGCAAGUUGAAUGUGAAAACUAUCGGCUCAACUGAUAGUUGCGUUCAAAACUGCAACUCUUGAGUGAAGUAGAGGUAGGCGGAAUUCCUAGUGUAGCGGUGAAAUGCGUAGAUAUUAGGAGGAACACCAGUGGCGAAGGCGGCCUACUGGGCUUUAACUGACACUGAGGCUCGAAAGCGUGGGUAGCAAACAGGAUUAGAUACCCUGGUA